Molecule: ribosomal RNA, 449 nt
Filed under: uncultured bacterium
Lineage: Bacteria
Description: partial 16S ribosomal RNA
Rfam family: Bacterial small subunit ribosomal RNA
Source: RNAcentral
CCUACGGGAGGCUGCAGUAAGGAAUAUUGGACAAUGGGCGCAAGCCUGAUCCAGCCAUGCCGCGUGCAGGAUGACGGCCCUAUGGGUUGUAAACUGCUUUUAUACGGGAAAAAACCCCUCUACGUGUAGAGGGCUGAUGGUACCGUAAGAAUAAGGAUCGGCUAACUCCGUGCCAGCAGCCGCGGUAAUACGGAGGAUCCGAGCGUUAUGCGGAUAUAUGGGGCGUAAAGGGUGUGGAAAGGGAUUGGUAAAAUCCUGCAGCUUAACUGUAGAACUGCCAUUGAUACUGCAAGUCUUGAGUACAUAUGAUGUGGGCGGAAUGUGUAGUGUAGCGGUGAAAUGCUUAGAUAUUACACAGAACACCAAUUGCGAAGGCAGCUCACAAAACUGUAACUGACGCUGAGGCACGAAAGCGUGGGGAGUGAACAGGAUUAGAUACCCCGGUAGUC